UACGGAGGGUGCAAGCGUUGUCCGGAAUCAUUGGGUGUAAAGGGUGCGAAGACGGAAGCCUAAGUCGGAGGUGAAAUCUUGCCGCUCAACGGUAAAAUGGCCUACGAUACUGGGUUUCUUGAGUUCGGAAGAGGUUGGUGGAAUUCGUGGUGUAGCGGUGAAAUGCAUAGAGAUCACGAAGAACACCGGUGGCGAAGGCGGCCAACUGGUCCGAUACUGACGCUGAGGCACGAGAGCGUGGUGAGCGAACAGG
RNAcentral lists this unclassified non-coding RNA (253 nucleotides) under uncultured Bacteroidota bacterium. Its description in RNAcentral is "uncultured Bacteroidetes bacterium contains 16S-23S intergenic spacer region". It matches the Rfam family "Bacterial small subunit ribosomal RNA", at positions 524 to 776 of the family's 1533-position model. The record is from RNAcentral. Lineage: Bacteria; Pseudomonadati; Bacteroidota.